UGACGAUCUACUGACUGAGUGGCGGACGGGUGAGUAACGCGUGGGUAACCUGCCUGUACAGGGGGGACAACGAGUUGGAAACGACUGCUAAGUACCGCAUAAGCGCACGGAAUCGCAUGAUUUUGUGUGAAAAGAUUUAUCGGUACAAGAUGGACCCGCGUCUGAUUAGCUAGUUGGUGAGGUAAUGGCCCACCAAGGCGACGAUCAGUAGCCGACCUGAGAGGGUGACCGGCCACAUUGGGACUGAGACACGGCCCAAACUCCUACGGGAGGCAGCAGUGGGGAAUAUUGCACAAUGGGCGCAAGCCUGAUGCAGCGAACCGCCGCGUGAGCGAAGAAGUAUUUCGGUAUGUAAAGCUCUAUCAGCAGGGAAGAUAAUGACGGUACCUGACUAAGAAGCACCGGCUAAAUACGUGCCAGCAGCUGC
This 427-nucleotide ribosomal RNA is filed under the name uncultured bacterium. Its description in RNAcentral is "bacterial SSU rRNA". It matches the Rfam family "Bacterial small subunit ribosomal RNA", at positions 78 to 518 of the family's 1533-position model. The record is from RNAcentral.